GAGGGGUAGUUUAACUGGAAAAACGCCGGCCGCUGCAAGCCGGAAAUUUAGGUUCGAAUCCUUCCCCUUUG
This 71-nucleotide transfer RNA is filed under the name Chitinophaga agri. RNAcentral describes it as "Chitinophaga sp. H33E-04 tRNA-Gln". It matches the Rfam family "tRNA". Rfam says of the family: Transfer RNA (tRNA) molecules are approximately 80 nucleotides in length. The record is from RNAcentral. Lineage: Bacteria; Pseudomonadati; Bacteroidota; Chitinophagia; Chitinophagales; Chitinophagaceae.